UACUCCUACGGGAGGCAGCAGUGGGGAAUAUUGGACAAUGGGGGAAACCCUGAUCCAGCGACGCCGCGUGGGUGAAGAAGUAUUUCGGUAUGUAAAGCUCUAUCAGCAGGGAGAAAAUGACGGUACCUGACUAAGAAGCCCCGGCUAACUACGUGCCAGCAGCCGCGGUAAUA
This 173-nucleotide ribosomal RNA is filed under the name uncultured Clostridium sp. RNAcentral's name for it is "partial 16S ribosomal RNA". It matches the Rfam family "Bacterial small subunit ribosomal RNA", at positions 334 to 525 of the family's 1533-position model. The record is from RNAcentral. Lineage: Bacteria; Bacillati; Bacillota; Clostridia; Eubacteriales; Clostridiaceae.